RNA transcript from Rhineura floridana, 6373 nucleotides. RefSeq lists it as uncharacterized. The record is from RefSeq and is a predicted model, not a curated record. NCBI's taxonomy places the organism in Eukaryota, Metazoa, Chordata, Lepidosauria, Squamata, Rhineuridae. The transcript has 3 exons.
CUGACAGGCUAUUUUUUGCCCUGGUUGACUAAAUAUGGUCAGGGAGGGAAUGGCAAGGGAAGGGGGCUCCGGGCCUCGAGCGCGUGUUUCGGAUGCUUAGCUGGGUAUAUAAGCACUGGAAAGGUGGAUGCGUUUCCUGACCAGCUUGCUUCGCCCUGCACCUCUGGAGUCUGUGCAGACCCCCUCCCCAAAAUCCCCCCUUUCUUUUUUUUGUUCCAUCCUGGCCUCCACCUCAGGCUGACCUUUUGGGGAAGGGCAAGUGGGGUGGGUCGGAGGAUAAAGCAAGGCAUGGGGCAGGAGAGAGAGGGCAGGGAAGACUUCUGCAAACAGAACGGCUUCGCUGCUGGAAGGUGGGCGGCGGGCAGGAGCCCUGCCCCUGGAAGGGGACUUCUUCUUCUUCUGAAGUCCCGCACCUCUCGCCCGUCUCCUGCUACACUCGUGCUCUCCUUUGCUGGCCUCAGCUGUAAGCUUGCAAGCGUCCCCCUCCCUCGCUACCUUAGCCAGAGAUGCUGCAGGAGCCUUAGAGAUGAACUAGCGCCUGUUGGGGUGUGCGUGUGUGAGGUGGUGUGUGUGCGUGUGGAGAGAGGGUGGAAGAUGGCUGGGGGUGGGGUGGGGUUGCCUCAAUUCUCUCUCUCGGUCUCCAAGUGAGGUCUAAUACCAUUACUGGGCCGCACUUUCCCGCUUUCCCUUCCUGCAUUAGAGAUUAGCUUUAAGGAAAAGGCUGGCGGCGGCGGCGGCAGCUGCAUGCAACGCAUUAUUACCUUGUGAUUCCAUGACCCUCCUCUAUGCAUCCCUAACUCUCGAAAGCUGAUUCAGCUUUUAGCUAGUGCUCUGGUGACUUCCACUGCUGCAACAGAAAAUCUUCUAACUGGUAUGUCUUUUUUUUUUUUAAAUCCACCUCCCCUCCUCUUUUUACUGUCUGCCUUCUCCCCAUCUCUCUUCCCCCCCCAUCCUCAACUGCACCAAGCUUAGCUUUGUUUUAAAGAGACCUGCAGCAGGAGUCUUCUUGUGCAUGCAUCCAACUUGUGUGUGGACUUAAAAUGCAUGCUUUUCGCAGAAGGGGCAUAAUCGGUGCAUGCAUGCUUUCAUACGGGGGUGGGUUAGGGUUAGGGCAUUUUUGAGCUUUUUUCCCUCUUAUCCUUCUCUCCCCCCUUUCCUCUUGUUGUUGUUGUUCUAUUGCUGUAGCACACACUCCGCAUUUUUUUUUAAAAAAGGACAAAAAAAUCUGCAGAGCAAGCAGCGGACUAGAGUAUUCGGAACUGAAACGCUAGAACUUUGACAUGCAGGCAUUUUGCAAGGUUAAACCAACCUUUUAAAUGCCUCAUUCAGAUAUGAGCUGGCUAAUGACAGCUGGGGAAGGUGGGGGGGAAAGAGAGAAGAGAAAUCUUUUGAUAUUAAUAACUAGUGGCUGUAAGCUGGAAUGAUACUAAGCCAGGGAGGGGAAAAGGGGGGGGCAGAGGGAGAGAGGAUACAAGGUGGUUAAACUUAGUCUAACUUGCCCUGAUCUCGGUGCUGUGGUGAUUAACCAUUGACAUGCCAAGGUUGUGAGCAUUAAUUACCUGUGCAUGAUUUAUGGGUAAUCAAGAUGGGAGGCUGGAGUGAGGGAAGAAACGCCCAUAGCCAGAAAAGGUACAUUGGCGAGGCAAAGAUACUGAAAUGCAAGUUACAGUUUAAGAGCUCCUCUUGGGCAGUUUUGCUUUUUCUUGGCCUUGAAGAUGAUCUUUUAUUUGAGAGGGAAGUGGCUCCGCAGGCAUACUUUGAAAGUCAUGUCAUAAACCAGAAUGCAGUGUCGAUUUGAUGUCAAGGAUGUAAGUGAGCAUCUGUGUUAAUAUCUAAAAGCAUGGGUGGUGUUUAAUGCUGUAACACCACAGACUUACUCAAUUACUUUGCAAGGAGGUGAGCGUAGGAUCUCCAUCUCCACAGAGUGUGAUUUUCUGCAUAUGUAUUUGUAUAUAUUCUUAGAUACGUGUCUGUAUCUCAGUACUCCUAUAUGCAUGUCUUUCGUGUAUAUAACAUGAAUACUUGUUCCAUAUGUUAAGGCUGCGAUCCUUGAAUCACAUACUGUGGAGUAGCCCCUUUCACUCCGGUGGGACUGUCCAGAGUUAAUGUAUGAGGGAUUGCAGCCUCUGUCACUUGGGACUCCUUCCUGCCCCCUUCUUCGUCUUUUUCUUUAGCUUCUUCUGUGCAUGUGUGUUCUGUGCAUGUGUGCAUAAGGAAGGAUGAAUUCCUUUCACUCAGCAAUAACGUGCAAUUGUGUAAUCGGAGAAGCUGUCACUGUAAUCGCUGUGUUUCUCCAGAACUGUCUCUAUCAUGCCUUUUGCUCAGAAUACUAUUGUUAACACUGAAAACUGAGUUCAGUCACAUAAGGAACAACCACCCAAUUGCAGGCAGGUAUAACAAUCCUUCAUUCCACUUCAACUUUCCCACUGGUGACUUCCUCUAGAAUGUGGUCUUUGAUGCACCCUUUGACACAGAUGGCCAUUUUGCAAAUAUCUGAGAUUGGCAGUCAUGCGAGGAGGUUGAGGAGGGAAGCUCUGUAUGGAAGGUGUGUGUGUGGUACAUUUGUACCACCACACCCACAAGGAGUCAAACUCCCUUCAAUGUCCUCUGCAGCCUUUUCCCAUCUCUUGUUAUCUAGAGAGAGAGAGAAUGAAUCUUCCUUCCACAGAUAUUCUCCCCUUCUUCACCUUCUUAUUAUGCAGGAUUUUCCCACUAUGAAUGAACCAACCACUCUGGAUGAACACGAGGAACUUCAGUUGCCCUCUGUUAUCCUUGAGGGUGUGAAAAUGAUAAAUAACCCUGACUAAAUGUAAAAGCAGCAGCUGAGCUGUAAUAUAAUUCUGCUGUGCUAAAAGAAAAAAAAAGAGGGGGGGGAAGAGAGACAAGCACUUUUGGCAAUAAUAAACCCUGUGUAAAGAGUGAAUGUAACACAAAUUACCUAUUGUUCUUUCCCAAAGCACCUCUCUGGCAGCAGCAAAUGGCCACUGAAUUAAUCUUAAGUCAGACUUGGAAACUUUGAGGUGACUUUUCUAUAAAGCCUCUAUGGGGCUUCAUAAAGAGGCAGUCUUGUCCCCUAACCUUUUUGUAUUUAUAGGGUUCUGCUCUUCCCUUUUGCACUUUCGCAAAGGGAAUUCCCCUGGUUGCCAAUUAGCAAAUGUUCCAUUUGUGCAGGGAAAAGUCUAUAGGCAUGUAGGGUGAGCUGAUGGCAGUCAAGUGUCCUUUGCAGUAAUUUCAAAGGGGGAGGGGGGAAUAAAUAGAUAAUUAAACAGAGCAGAUUGUCUCCAUCCACUUGUAGCUAUUUUUACAUGCCUUUUUUAUUGGAACAAGGAGAAACCUACACGAAAGGCCUGUGGGUCUUGAUAAGAUUGGUUCUUUUUUCUAGGUAGCUGCUGCUGCUGUCUGAGCAAGGGCACUUUUUUGCCAUCUCCAGCUCACUCAGCUUAAUUCCACUGCCUUGCUGCAUUCCGAGGAGGAGGAGGUAGUUCCUUUAUAUUGAAUCCAAAUCAUAGGAAAUUGGCUGCAGCUGAAAUGAAUUCCUUUUUGGGGAGGGGGAGGGAAGGUGCAGAAAGAAAGAUAUCAAAAAUACAGGGAUUAUCAAAUUGCCAUAUUGUUAUUGUUUCUUUAAAAAAAGAAGAUAUUUAACGGAAAUGAUGUAAUGUAUCUGAGGGAGAUAAAAACGCUGUCCAGCAUUAACUGCUAUGUGGAAGUAGUGGAAUGCGAGGCCUGCUUUUUUAAAAAAAAGUAUAAUUAUAGUGUCUUUAUAACAGUGAUUUAAAGUUUGUGGAGAAAAUAAGGGAAUGUUUACUUCACAGUUGUAUUUUUAAAAUGCAGCAUGGUGGGUGUGAGGGUGGGGUUGCAAGACCCAUCAAUACAAUUAAGUAUUCCAAAGUGCUUAGUUUGCCAGUUGCUAAGUUUACUUAAACCCUCUUUAAAGGGUUCAUUAGAAGACUGUGAGAAAUGGUAAAAUUCAUUAACAUUAAGGCAGCCGUUCUGCAUUUGCCUGUAAAUUGGUAUUGAUCUGCAUGGCUCAGGCUGGUGGCAGGGAGGGAGAGAGAGAGAGGGAGAGAGAGAGAGAGAGAGAGAGAGAGAGAGGAGGUAGCCAUCAGAUGGAGCAGGUGAGUGGACAAGCUAAGCACACCAUUACAGCAAUGCUGAAUGAGCAUUAUGCACCCAGUGUGACCUCCUGGUUUGCUGGAUGUCUAAAUCCUGCUCAUAAUAGUCUCCUGUUCAGUACACUCAUCAUUCUCAGUGGUGCUUCUUGGACCCCAUUGUUAGGGGAGCUUUAAAGCUCAGAGUGGCUGAGAAGAGAAAAAGAGAGAGGAGGAGAGAGAGACUGCCUGAUGCAAACAGAAGUGAGAGGCAAGAUUUCACACAUAUGGACACACACACACACACACCCUCAUGCACCCCCCCUCACAAACACACCCUCUGAGGAGUAACUCUUGACUUCCACUCCGGCCUACACUCAACAUUAUCCAUCUGUCCAUCCGUCCGUCCACUUUGGGGUUCCUUGUGUUCUUUUUGCCUGUUCUCAGGUCAGUUUCGGGCAUCUUCUAAUGUUGCAAAGUUCAACUGAAAGAUACUGUAGAAAAUCCCACUUCUUUCCAAGGGAAAAAAGUCAAGCCCUUUCCUUUUGGGGGUUUCUUAUCCUUCAGGCUGUGCCUCACUUACAGUGACCUACAAAAAAGGGGAAAAUUAUAUCAGUGGACACCUGAGCAGGUGGAUGCACUCAUCAGGACAUUAAAUAUUCAAUAUGCUGACUGCGGUAUGGGCUUUGAAAGGCAUCGGCAGAGGAAACCUUACUGUCCACUUCUGUGGUUCUUUAUCUUUCUAUGGAAUGCCUGCAGGUCUGACGUCGUCCUUAGUUUGCCAAGAUGCUGCAGGCCACACAGACCUCUGACAAGCCAUGAGAGUCCUGAACGUCUUCAUUCCUCCCCCAUUGCUGAUCAAGCAACAGACAGAUGCUGUCUUUGGAAACCUUAGCUCAACAGUGUUGCUUGGGGCUUCUAAAAGAGAAAAGAGGAAUUUUGAAGGGCAUCCGACCGCACCCUCCCCCAAAUCCUUAUCUGGAUCUACUCAAUAGAAGUCUCAUUGUUACUUGUUACAUGUUACAAGCAGAAACUCAAUAUUUAGCAGGAUGGUGGUGGAAUUGGAUGCAUCUCCCCCCACCACACCAGAGCACAGUUUAUAUUGUAAACUAUUCAAUAUAUAUUACAAAGGGGUUUCUUUUAUUUUUUCAAUCUUUCUCUUGCAAAUUCUAUAUUGCUGAUGCAACUGCAGAAAUAGCAUAGUGGGUAUGUCUAAUUGUGGACAGUCAGAUUUUGUUUAAUGCACUGACUUGGACGAGAACAUGAAUUUGGGCCACAGCUAAAUUUCAAGCCACUGCAGAGAUCUAGAAAAUACAUUCCUCCCCUUUUUUAAAAAAGAAAAUGUUUCAAUGAGCUGGCAAUGAACCAUGAAAGGCGCAUGGCCUUGCUGAUCCUCGCAUUAUGUUCCCUUUGCUCUUUAGGAGAAUCUCACUUAUGCCAGCCUCUUUGGAGCCUACAACAGGUGCAAGUGGGAGCAGUAAUCUGGGUUAAAGUUAGGCUGCCAAAAGGGAUGACCUUUGGCUUGAAUAGCAGGUUCCCACUCUAAGUUUAGGGAGCUAAGUUGGCAAAUAUUUGUGGAAGCUGCAGGAGGGGGGCAGAGAUGGAAGAGCUGACUCAUAGUCUUCAACCUACUACUCUUCAAUCACUUUUCUAGAGGCUUUGGAAAUGGCUAAGGUGAAUUGCAUGCAUUCAAGCGGCCAUUUAUACCUCUCUGUUUUGGAGAGGCAUGGGUCUUUCACCAGAAAGUGGGAGCUUAUAUGCCCUUUUCUUUUGAAAUCGUAGGGACUAGGGCCACCAUGGAUUUUAGAAGACAAAAAUGCCCCUCUUUUUUAAUCAGUUAAUCAAGGGUGCAUCUUAACAGAACGUGGCACGUAGUUCCUUGUAAUUGGCCCUCUCUAGAGAAAAGUAAGCAUGCCUAAUUAAUAGGGUUUACACUCUGAGCUCUUAACAUGGAAAUAUGAUGCACUGAUUUUAAAGCAGGUCUAUAUAAUUUGUAAUCUACCAUCUUGAAUGCAAGACACCAGCUUGGGAGUGGCCUGCUCCCCCUCCUCUCUCUCACACACACUCUUUUAAGAAGACACUUUCAAGUACAGAAAUAAUAGGCUUGUAAGCCUUAAGCAUUUAUCUGUGUUCUUAAGAUCUCCUGAAGGUUCCGCAGGGGUUCGGUUCUGUCUCCCAUGCUUUUUAACAUCUACAUGAAGCCGUUGGGUGCGGUCAUCAGGAGUUUUGGAGUGCGUUGUCAUCAGUAUGCUGAUGACACACAGCUCUACUUCUCCUUUUCAUCA